Molecule: ribosomal RNA, 351 nt
Filed under: Craterostigmus tasmanianus
Lineage: Eukaryota; Metazoa; Arthropoda; Chilopoda; Craterostigmomorpha; Craterostigmidae
Description: eukaryotic LSU rRNA
Rfam family: Eukaryotic large subunit ribosomal RNA
Source: RNAcentral
GACCAAGGAGUCUAACAUGUGCGCGAGUCGUAGGGUUACGCUCAAAGCCCGAAGGCGCAAUGAAAGUGAAGGUCGGCCUCGAUUGCCGUUACCUAGGCGGGAUCCGUUCGGGCUUACCGGUCGUUCGCGGCUGAGCCCGGCGGCGCACCGCCGGCCCGUCUCGACCGCAUCGCCGGUGAGGCGGAGCGAGAGCGUACACGUUGGGACCCGAAAGAUGGUGAACUAUGCCCGGGCAGGACGAAGCCAGAGGAAACUCUGGUGGAGGUCCGUAGCGAUUCUGACGUGCAAAUCGAUCGUCGGACCUGGGUAUAGAGGCGAAAGACUAAUCGAACCAUCUAGUAGCUGGUUCCG